This 467-nucleotide ribosomal RNA is filed under the name uncultured organism. Its description in RNAcentral is "partial 16S ribosomal RNA". It matches the Rfam family "Bacterial small subunit ribosomal RNA", at positions 333 to 797 of the family's 1533-position model. The record is from RNAcentral.
ACACUCCUACGGGAGGCAGCAGUGAGGAAUAUUGGACAAUGGGUGGAAGCCUGAUCCAGCCAUCCCGCGUGCAGGAAGACGGCCCUAUGGGUUGUAAACUGCUUUUAUCUGGGGAUAAACCUACUUACGUGUAAGUAGCUGAAGGUACCAGAAGAAUAAGCACCGGCUAACUCCGUGCCAGCAGCCGCGGUAAUACGGAGGGUGCAAGCGUUAUCCGGAUUUAUUGGGUUUAAAGGGUCCGUAGGCGGACUGAUAAGUCAGUGGUGAAAUCCGACAGCUUAACUGUCGAACUGCCAUUGAUACUGUUAGUCUUGAGUAAGGUUGAAGUGGCUGGAAUAAGUAGUGGAGCGGUGAAAUGCAUAGAUAUUACUUAGAACACCAAUUGCGAAGGCAGGUCACUAAGUCUUAACUGACGCUGAUGGACGAAAGCGUGGGGAGCGAACAGGAUUAGAAACCCGAGUAGUCCC